GUUUAAUGUCUUCCCUCUAACUUCCAUCCCAUGAUAUUUUGAAGGAACCACACUACUUCUCUUCUUCUCUUGAAUCAUGGCCUUGUACAAUAUUUAUUUGACUAGUAAUAAGAGUAUAUUUGUUGGUCUUUUUUAGUAAUGCUAUUGCUGCUCGAAUGGCUAGAUCCCAGUCUCAAGACCAGGAACUGGCAUCGACAUCGACGAACUCAGAACCUACAGAAAAUGGAACUCCAAACGACAGCUUAACAGGAGACGUUGUAGACAGUGGACAAGAAAGACGACCAUCAUCGAAUUCUUUUGAAGACGAAUAAGCAAGAAGUUCAGUUUCAGAGCUCGAACCGCAAACUUCACCGUUCCGUACACAUUCACCAAAAGUCACACACAAAAAGCUCAGCGUUAAACUUUCUCCUAAGGAAUCCCUUACACUAAGGCCAACAAAGCAAGGUUAUCUAGAUAAACUGAGCGGUGGUAAACAUAAAGCUCCUAAAUGGGACAACAGAUACUUUGAGCUUGCAGAAGGAGGUCACCUCCACUACUACAAGAAAGCACAAGGAAAGAUUAUGAACACUAUCUAUUUAUGAGGACGGUCCUGUGAUCUUUGAUGAACAGGAUUCUACCAUAAUUCGUAUUAAAACAGACGAUCGUGAAUGGAGUCUAAAGGCUGCAACUAUCGAUGAAGCAAAAGACUGGAAAGAAAGUCUUGACUUCUACGCCAAGAAAACGUCUGUAUCUGUGUAGAUGAACUAGCUAGAAAUUAUGAUUAUUAUACUUGAAUGGGUGCAUCAGUGACAGAAACGCUUAGAAUAACAACUAAGGGUUAUAAUAUUAAUUGCUUAGUUGCUAACUGUGCAAUUCCGCUACCUCAUGAAUGUAAGCUGAAAUGACAAUUCACGGAUUUUUACGAUUACGUUUGUGUUUGCGUCUUUGUCAUUAGUGCACUCAUCAAUAAUAUGGACAACCAAUUGGUGUAACCUGUUAUGCGCAUUAACUUUAAAAUUAGCNGAACAAAUGCAUUUUGUAUUACCGGCAUAUAUUCAAUACAUUUUCAUUUUCCCAAAGACUUGAUACAAGUUCUUUGUGGAAAAGUGAGAAUUUGUUGGAAUUGAUAAUAUACAAGACUUUACUAAAGGAAGGCGAAUGUUGCUCGCAAUAACCUUAACUUACUCAAUAUGUUUUAUUGUUGCAAAAAGCAACUCAACUUGGUGUAAAUGGAAGAGUUUUCUUCAUGAGGAUCCCCGAGGGGGGGAUGACUCNCUUAUAAAAAAGGGUGGGGUCCUCGUCGGAAAUUCUGAAAAUGACUCCUAAAAGGGACCUUUAUUUUGAGAUGAUGGGCGUGGCAGCAUUGAAAUUUCACCCCAAAGAGGGAUCGGUUAUUUUGUCUUGGUUUCCCGAUUUCAUUUGUGUUUUUGCACAAGCAUCAAACGCCGUUGGCUCGUAUUGAGUUUAUGAGGACGUUGUUAUAUACAAAGAUAUGAUGACGGCUCAGGGUCGUCGUAUACCCUAAAAGGGACCAACCACAAAACUCAUUUGGUGGGGAUUCUCGUCAUUAUCACCCUAUUAGUGAGCGGGACCAAAACUUGACUGACUUCAAACCCUAAAAGAAACGACGAGGACCUCNGCCCUCUUUUAUUAGGGAGUACCCCCCCGGGUACGGAACAACUUUCACCCUAAAACUGAAUCGUGAUGUAAGUGGUAUGCAAUAGAGCAAGCGCAGGAAAACCAUGAAAUAAAAUCAAACUAAAUACUAACAAAUAGCGACUAUUUAGAGACAAAUUGUCAGUAUCAAUGAACCAGAAUGCAAUAAAAAUGUUCCCAUGUGGAUUCAUCUUCAUUGUGUUCUGGUUCAAUGAUCUGACAAAUUGUCACUAAAUAGCGGCAAUUUGUUAGUAUUUAGUUUGAUUUAGUUUCAUGGUUUUCCUGCAUUUGCUCUAAGCUGCACUUAUUUGUUACGAGAUUAGUUCUCGGAGCUAAUAAAGUGUGAAUAUAUAUUGGAAUUAUGAUAUCCAUUUUUUUUGGGUCAAAUGUGUAGUUUUGAUUGUGUAUAUUGUUUCGUUAAUUGUUA
Molecule: long non-coding RNA, 2062 nt
Filed under: Exaiptasia diaphana
Lineage: Eukaryota; Metazoa; Cnidaria; Anthozoa; Actiniaria; Aiptasiidae
Description: uncharacterized LOC110235515
Source: RNAcentral